GGGUAGUGACACCAGUUCACAUAACACCGUCUGAAUUUUCCAGCUAUAAAAGCAACUUAAUUAUGGCUUGUAAAUGAGAGACUGAUUGGUGUCAGGUUUGGGAUCUAUGUCAAACUAUAAUUGUAAAAAACAUAACAGAUGUUAGAAAUAGAAACCAAGAAGCACUUCAAAACAGUAUCAUAUUGUUUUAAAAACCGAACAGGACGUUAAACCAGCAUGAUCUCUAGUUGUUUUAG
Molecule: long non-coding RNA, 236 nt
Filed under: Trifolium pratense (red clover)
Lineage: Eukaryota; Viridiplantae; Streptophyta; Magnoliopsida; Fabales; Fabaceae
Description: long non-coding RNA (TPRA_LNC009586)
Source: RNAcentral